GCUCCAGGCUCUGAGCUGUCAGCACAGAGAGAGCCUGAUGCGGGGCUCAAACUCACGAACCUGUGAGCUCAUGACCCGAGCUGAACACUCAACCGACUGAGCCACCCAGGCACCCAACCCAGUUUCAUUUCUUAGGCCAUCAGUGGAUUGUUUUUUCCCAUCAUUCACAGAGCUGGGAAAGAGCUGUGAUGGCCAUGCCAACACCUGCCGUGGAAGAAAAGAGAGGUGGCACAAGGUCACAAAUUUUACUUUUGCAAAACAUGGUCAGGGGGCCACGAAAAUUCUCAAAGGAGACAGCAUUUAUAAUUAAGAUUUUAAGCCAGGAUUGGGUCCCUUUCUUGGUAUCUGUUUUAGAAGUAUUAGAAGUGCCAAUAUUGAUCCAAGAGACAGAGGGACUUAAAGUGUCUAAGUCCAAGGUUGCAGUCAUCCCCAAGACCAGAUCACCUCUGCUUUGACUGACCCCGGCAACAAGAGCCAAUAAAUCCUCUCUGGUUUGGGUGA
Felis catus (domestic cat) is the source of this 501-nucleotide long non-coding RNA. RefSeq lists it as uncharacterized. Lineage: Eukaryota; Metazoa; Chordata; Mammalia; Carnivora; Felidae. The transcript has 2 exons. The record is from RefSeq and is a predicted model, not a curated record.